Papaver somniferum (opium poppy) is the source of this 1858-nucleotide long non-coding RNA. RefSeq lists it as uncharacterized. NCBI's taxonomy places the organism in Eukaryota, Viridiplantae, Streptophyta, Magnoliopsida, Ranunculales, Papaveraceae. The transcript is spliced from 2 exons. The record is from RefSeq and is a predicted model, not a curated record.
AAUGUCAGGAUAUUAAGUGUAACUGAGGUGUUUUUUAGUUUGGUUUUCUGGUAUUUGCUGUUGACGGUUACAGGUUGUUGUAAUUGUCUUUUAGUUACUGUGUCAGGCUUCUUUCAUGGUAUCAUCCCUUCUUCAUUUUUCAAACUCAAACUUUCUUCGAUCUACUUCCGCUUAUUUUUGAGAAAUCUACACAACCUAAAUAAUGUCGAUCGAUCAAAUUUUUGAUUCUCCUGAGAAUCAAACACAACACUCACCAAAAUUAUCAAAAUCAAACACACAUUCAAAUUCUACAUCUCAAAUCAACCUACAUUUACCGCAUCUUACAAAUUUUGUUUCGGUUAAACUUGAAGCUGAUGGAUCUAAUUACCUAAUCCGGAGAAAUCAGUUCGAAUUUAUCUUAAUCACCACUGAUCUCUUUGAUUAUGUUGAUGGAUCUAUUGAAGAACCUGUUCAGUUUGUCAAAAUUGAUGGUGAAAAGACUUUGAAUCCAGAGUAUUAUACUUGGCGAAAAUACAACCGGUUUGUAGUGUCCUAUAUCAAUGCAACUCUAUGAGAUCGUGUUUUUCGAAGUAUUGUUGGUUGUAAAACUGCUCGUGAAAUCUGUUUAUAUUUUGAGAAAUCUAUUCUUCUUCAAUUUUCAUCAUGCAAAUCACUUCUUCGUAGUCAACUUCACUCAGUUCGUAGAGGUAAUCGUUCCAUUUCAGAUUAUAUUGAUGAAAUUAGGUCUAUUUCUGAUUCUUUGGUUGCGAUUGAUCUUCCUGUGGAUGACUCUGAUCUUGCUAUGUAUACGCUUCAAGGCUUAGGAAAAGAGUAUAGUCAAUAUUUUGUUACUGCAAGUUACAGAGAAACUGAGUAUUUUUUUAGUGAUUUGUACUCUAAACUUAUACAUCAUGAGCAGUACUUGAAAACUGAGGAGUUAGAGUCGAAAUCUGUUUUAGAUGCUCAAAAUUCUGCGUUUUACACGAAUAAAUCAAACAAGUCUAAGAAGAAAUCUUAUGGAUCAUAGGAUAAUCUGAAUUUCCAUUCAUCUUCUGAUUCUGAUGUUGUUGUUUGUCAAAUUUGUAAGAUUCCUGGUCAUCUAGCUAAUCGUUGUAUAUGGCGUUAUACUCCAACUUCUAAGUAUGGUUCUAAAUUUUGGUUCCAAAUCUGGUGCUAAGCCUGCAAGUAAGAGUUUUUCUCAAACAGAUUUACCUUCUACUUUAACAUCUUCUUCAGAUACCUUGCAACAAGCUUUUCAUAGCAUUAAACUCAACUCUGCAUCUGCUUGUAAUGAUCCAAAUGUUUCUUCUUGAUGGAUUACUGAUUCUGGAGCUGCAAGUCACAUGACUAACUUUCAGUCUUGCCUUUCUAAUGCCAAGUCUUACACAGGACUGGGACAUUAAAGCAGUGCUUGCUGAAGGAUUUAUGAAAGACAACCUAUAUCCAUUAACUACUCUACAGGCUACUCAAAUUGUUGCUCAUACUGCUGUUACACGUAUAUCUGAUUUUUGGCAUGGAAAAUUAGGUCAUACUUCUUCAACAAUACUUCAUAAGGUGGCUUCUUCAGCUGGUUUUUCAAUCAACACUACUUCUUCUCAGUUAUGUACUCCUUGUCAGUUGGGUAAGCAUCAUAGGCUUCCUUUUUAUCAUUCAGACAGAGUGACAACUGAGCCUUUGCACUUAAUUCAUUCUGACCUAUGAGGACCUGCUCCUGUUGCUUUCUCAUUAGGGUUUAGAUAUUACAUCUUAUUCAUUGAUGAUUUUUCUAGGUUUCAUUGGUUUUAUCCUUUGAAAACAAAAGAUGAAAGUGUUGAUUGUUUUAAACAUUUCAAAAAUUAUGUCUGAAAAUUUGUUGAAUAAAAGUAUCAAGUUGUUUCAA